Molecule: small RNA, 544 nt
Filed under: Pan troglodytes (chimpanzee)
Lineage: Eukaryota; Metazoa; Chordata; Mammalia; Primates; Hominidae
Description: retained intron
Source: RNAcentral
CUUAAUUGUCCAGUAUUCUGUAAUGUUAUCUAUUUACCUGUUGAAUCUUUUUCCUCUAACCCUCAAAACAAACACUCCAAGGCUGAAUCUGAACAGGCUCCACCCACAGAGCCAAAAGCAGAGGAGCCUCUGGCUGCUGUCACACCUGCCGUUGGGCUGGACCUUGGAAUGGACACUCGGGCUGAGGAGCCAGUGGAGGAGGCAGUGAUCAUACCUGGAGCUGAUGCUGAUGCAGCUGUUGGAACCUUGGUGUCAGCAGCUGAGGGGGCCCCAGGAGAGGAAGCAGAGGCGGAGAAGGCCACUGUCCCUGCCGGGGAAGGAGUAAGUUUAGAGGAGGCCAAAAUUGGAACUGAAACCACUGAGGGUGCAGAGAGUGCCCAACCUGAAGCAGAGGAGCUGGAAGUAACAGUGCCUCAGGAGAAGGUCAUUCCUUCGGUGGUCAUAGAGCCUGCCUCCAACCAUGAAGGGGAAGGAGAAAACGAAAUAACUAUAGGUGCAGAGCCCAAGGAGACCACCGAGGACGCGGCUCCUCCGGGCCCCACCA